Molecule: ribosomal RNA, 511 nt
Filed under: uncultured bacterium
Lineage: Bacteria
Description: bacterial SSU rRNA
Rfam family: Bacterial small subunit ribosomal RNA
Source: RNAcentral
CUGGCUCAGGACGAACGCUGGCGGCGUGCCUAACACAUGCAAGUCGAGCGGGGACAUGCGACGGAUAGGAAGAUUCGGUUGGACUUGAAGAUGCAUGUCUAGCGGCGGACGGGUGAGUAACGCGUGAGCAACCUGUCCCUUACAGGGGGAUAACACAGCGAAAGUUGUACUAAUACCGCAUGAGACCACGGGAGGACAUCCUCCAGGGGUCAAAGGAGCAAUCCGGUAAGGGGUGGGCUCGCGUCCGAUUAGAUAGUUGGUGAGGUAACGGCCCACCAAGUCGACGAUCGGUAGCCGACCUGAGAGGGUGAUCGGCCACAUUGGGACUGAGACACGGCCCAAACUCCUACGGGAGGCAGCAGUGGGGAAUAUUGGGCAAUGGGGGGAAACCCUGACCCAGCAACGCCGCGUGAGGGAAGAAGGUUUUCGGAUCGUAAACCUCUGUCCUUGGUGAAGAGGAAGAGACGGUAGCCAAGGAGGAAGCCCCGGCUAACUACGUGCCAGCAGCGGC